Molecule: ribosomal RNA, 328 nt
Filed under: Escherichia coli O157:H7 str. 1044
Lineage: Bacteria; Pseudomonadati; Pseudomonadota; Gammaproteobacteria; Enterobacterales; Enterobacteriaceae
Description: LSU rRNA
Rfam family: Bacterial large subunit ribosomal RNA
Source: RNAcentral
GAGACAGUUCGGUCCCUAUCUGCCGUGGGCGCUGGAGAACUGAGGGGGGCUGCUCCUAGUACGAGAGGACCGGAGUGGACGCAUCACUGGUGUUCGGGUUGUCAUGCCAAUGGCACUGCCCGGUAGCUAAAUGCGGAAGAGAUAAGUGCUGAAAGCAUCUAAGCACGAAACUUGCCCCGAGAUGAGUUCUCCCUGACCCUUUAAGGGUCCUGAAGGAACGUUGAAGACGACGACGUUGAUAGGCCGGGUGUGUAAGCGCAGCGAUGCGUUGAGCUAACCGGUACUAAUGAACCGUGAGGCUUAACCUUACAACGCCGAAGGUGUUUUG